This 250-nucleotide small nuclear RNA is filed under the name Cladophialophora psammophila CBS 110553. Its description in RNAcentral is "U2 spliceosomal RNA". It matches the Rfam family "U2 spliceosomal RNA". Rfam says of the family: U2 is a small nuclear RNA (snRNA) component of the spliceosome (involved in pre-mRNA splicing). Lineage: Eukaryota; Fungi; Ascomycota; Eurotiomycetes; Chaetothyriales; Herpotrichiellaceae. The record is from Rfam by way of RNAcentral.
GUCUCAGCUUUGCCAACUGGCUUAGAUCAAGUGUAGUAUCUGUUCUUUUCAGUUUAAUCGUGAGUGUCACAUCCAGAGCUGGCCUGUUCAUUGACCUGGGCUAACAACUCUCGCAGUCUGAAAUGUCACUACGGUGACAAACAUUGAUUAAAUUUAUUUUUGAACCUCGCUCGAGACUCUCUGUGCUUGCACAGAAGUCUCUUGCACCGUGUCCGAGGCCUUACACUGCCGCCUUGUGACGCGAACAACA